RNAcentral lists this ribosomal RNA (782 nucleotides) under Salmonella enterica. Its description in RNAcentral is "bacterial LSU rRNA". It matches the Rfam family "Bacterial large subunit ribosomal RNA", at positions 1 to 816 of the family's 2925-position model. The record is from RNAcentral. Lineage: Bacteria; Pseudomonadati; Pseudomonadota; Gammaproteobacteria; Enterobacterales; Enterobacteriaceae.
GGGUUGUGAGGUUAAGCGACUAAGCGUACACGGUGGAUGCCCUGGCAGUCAGAGGCGAUGAAGGGCGUGCUAAUCUGCGAUAAGCGCCGGUAAGGUGAUAUGAACCGUUAUAACCGGCGAUACCCGAAUGGGGAAACCCAGUGUGAUUCGUCACACUAUCAUUAACUGAAUCCAUAGGUUAAUGAGGCGAACCGGGGGAACUGAAACAUCUAAGUACCCCGAGGAAAAGAAAUCAACCGAGAUUCCCCCAGUAGCGGCGAGCGAACGGGGAGGAGCCCAGAGCCUGAAUCAGCAUGUGUGUUAGUGGAAGCGUCUGGAAAGGCGCGCGAUACAGGGUGACAGCCCCGUACACAAAAGCGCAUGUGCUGUGAGCUCGAUGAGUAGGGCGGGACACGUGGUAUCCUGUCUGAAUAUGGGGGGACCAUCCUCCAAGGCUAAAUACUCCUGACUGACCGAUAGUGAACCAGUACCGUGAGGGAAAGGCGAAAAGAACCCCGGCGAGGGGAGUGAAAAAGAACCUGAAACCGUGUACGUACAAGCAGUGGGAGCACCCUUUUGGGUGUGACUGCGUACCUUUUGUAUAAUGGGUCAGCGACUUAUAUUCUGUAGCAAGGUUAACCGCAUAGGGGAGCCGGAGGGAAACCGAGUCUUAAUUGGGCGUUAAGUUGCAGGGUAUAGACCCGAAACCCGGUGAUCUAGCCAUGGGCAGGUUGAAGGUUGGGUAACACUAACUGGAGGACCGAACCGACUAAUGUUGAAAAAUUAGCGGAUGACCUGUGGCU